This 78-nucleotide transfer RNA is filed under the name Ipomoea nil (Japanese morning glory). It matches the Rfam family "tRNA". From Rfam's summary of the family: Transfer RNA (tRNA) molecules are approximately 80 nucleotides in length. Their secondary structure includes four short double-helical elements and three loops (D, anti-codon, and T loops). The record is from Rfam by way of RNAcentral. Lineage: Eukaryota; Viridiplantae; Streptophyta; Magnoliopsida; Solanales; Convolvulaceae.
GACGGUUUGGCCGAGUGGUCUAAGGCGCCAGAUUUAGGCUCUGUUCGAAAGGGUGGGGUUCAAAUCCCACAGCCGUCA